This 21-nucleotide non-coding RNA is filed under the name Caenorhabditis elegans. The record is from RNAcentral. Lineage: Eukaryota; Metazoa; Nematoda; Chromadorea; Rhabditida; Rhabditidae.
UUCAUGUUGAGUUUUUGUACA